CAGGACGAACGCUGGCGGCGUGCCUAACACAUGCAAGUCGAACGGGGUAAUCCUUCGGGGUUACUUAGUGGCGGACGGGUGAGUAACGCGUGGGUAACCUGCCGUAUACAGGGGGACAACAGUUGGAAACGACUGCUAAUACCGCAUAAGCGCACAGGACCGCAUGGUCUGGUGUGAAAAACUCCGGUGGUAUACGAUGGACCCGCGUCUGAUUAGCUAGUUGGUGAGGUAACGGCCCACCAAGGCGACGAUCAGUAGCCGGCCUGAGAGGGUGAACGGCCACAUUGGGACUGAGACACGGCCCAAACUCCUACGGGAGGCAGCAGUGGGGAAUAUUGGACAAUGGGGGAAACCCCUGAUCCAGCGACGCCGCGUGAGUGAAGAAGUAUUUCGGUAUGUAAAGCUCUAUCAGCAGGGAAGAAAAUGACGGUACCUGACUAAGAAGCUCCGGCUAAAUACGUG
Molecule: ribosomal RNA, 462 nt
Filed under: uncultured bacterium
Lineage: Bacteria
Description: bacterial SSU rRNA
Rfam family: Bacterial small subunit ribosomal RNA
Source: RNAcentral